RNAcentral lists this ribosomal RNA (410 nucleotides) under uncultured bacterium. RNAcentral describes it as "bacterial SSU rRNA". It matches the Rfam family "Bacterial small subunit ribosomal RNA", at positions 370 to 772 of the family's 1533-position model. The record is from RNAcentral.
AAUGGGCGAAAGCCUGAUCCAGCCAUGCCGCGUGUAUGAAGAAGGCCUUCGGGUUGUAAAGUACUUUUGUUAGGGAAGAAAAGCUUGUUGCUAAUAUCAGCAAGCCAUGACGGUACCUAAAGAAUAAGCACCGGCUAACUACGUGCCAGCAGCCGCGGUAAUACGUAGGGUGCAAGCGUUAAUCGGAAUUACUGGGCGUAAAGCGAGCGCAGGCGGUUAUUUAAGUCAGGUGUGAAAGCCCCGAGCUCAACUUGGGACGUGCAUUUGAAACUGGAUAACUAGAGUGUGUCAGAGGGGGGUAGAAUUCCACGUGUAGCAGUGAAAUGCGUAGAGAUGUGGAGGAAUACCGAUGGCGAAGGCAGCCCCCUGGGAUAACACUGACGCUCAUGCUCGAAAGCGUGGGUAGCAAA